RNAcentral lists this ribosomal RNA (198 nucleotides) under Flavobacterium circumlabens. Lineage: Bacteria; Pseudomonadati; Bacteroidota; Flavobacteriia; Flavobacteriales; Flavobacteriaceae. The record is from RNAcentral.
UAAGGUGGUUAUUGCGGCGGGGCUCACCUCUUCCCAUCCCGAACAGAGUAGUUAAGCCCGCCUGCGCAGAUGGUACUGCAGUUAUGUGGGAGAGUAUGUCGUCGCCUUUCUUUUUAAAAUCCUCAUCAUGUAUUUGAUGGGGAUUUUUUUGUUUUAUAUUGAGUCGUGGAAUUUAACCGCAAAGCCCGCAAAGGAGUU